AUAAGGACUCCGUGCACCUCUGAAUCGCUCGAGCUGGGAUCAGCGUUGUCAAGAAUAACAAGCCAAGGUCACAUGCUGUCGUGAGUCAGAUGUUAAGAAACGGCAGCAGAUUAGAAUUGGUCAUUAAAUUUUCAGAUGAUCAACUUCCAGAAAGCACCUCAAGUCUGCGAAUCAGUGUGGAUGAUGCACUUCCCCAUGCAACAAUGCCAUACUGGAGAUAUGAUUGGAAUAGGGAAAAAUAAACUAAUCGCAUAGCUGAUGUGAGUUCAUGUACAGUUCCAAAUCAUUUGAUGAAGCUGAACUUCCGAAUAGUCCAGUAUCAUCAGCAAAGAGUUUCACAAGUAGGUUAGUGGCAUGAGGGAGAUCAUUGACAAAGAGUAUGAACAUUACUGGCCCGAUUAUCGAUCCUUGUGGAAUUCCACACUGUACAGUUUCAAGUUUAGAACAAUGUGAUCCUAUUUUGACAUAUUGUUGACGUGAGCUCAAGUAGUUCUGGAAUAAUUUUGAUGCAUGUCCGCGAAUACCAUAGUGGCACAUCUUUUUAACUAAUAUGUUAUGAUCAACGGUGUCGAAUGCCUUUUUUAGGUCGAGGAAUAUGGCACUAAUAUGCU
This is a non-coding RNA of Styela clava, 611 nucleotides long. The record is from RefSeq and is a predicted model, not a curated record. Lineage: Eukaryota; Metazoa; Chordata; Ascidiacea; Stolidobranchia; Styelidae.